Molecule: ribosomal RNA, 497 nt
Filed under: uncultured bacterium
Lineage: Bacteria
Description: partial 16S ribosomal RNA
Rfam family: Bacterial small subunit ribosomal RNA
Source: RNAcentral
GACGAACGCUGGCGGCGUGCCUAAUACAUGCAAGUUGAGCGCUGAAGGUUGGUACUUGUACCAACUGGAUGAGCAGCGAACGGGUGAGUAACGCGUGGGGAAUCUGCCUUUGAGCGGGGGACAACAUUUGGAAACGAAUGCUAAUACCGCAUAAAAACUUUAAACACAAGUUUUAAGUUUGAAAGAUGCAAUUGCAUCACUCAAAGAUGAUCCCGCGUUGUAUUAGCUAGUUGGUGAGGUAAAGGCUCACCAAGGCGAUGAUACAUAGCCGACCUGAGAGGAUGAUCGGCCACAUUGGGACUGAGACACGGCCCAAACUCAUACGGGAGGCAGCAGUAGGGCAUCUUCGGAAAUGGACGAAAGUCUGACCGAGCAACGCCGCGUGAGUGAAGAAGGUUAUCGGAUCGUAAAACUCUGUUGGUAGAGAAGAACGUUGGUGAGAGUGGAAAGCUCAUCAAGUGACGGUAACUACACAGAAAGGGACGGCUAACUACGUG